Molecule: ribosomal RNA, 248 nt
Filed under: uncultured bacterium
Lineage: Bacteria
Description: partial 16S ribosomal RNA
Rfam family: Bacterial small subunit ribosomal RNA
Source: RNAcentral
AGCGAACGCUGGCGGCAGGCUUAACACAUGCAAGUCGAGCGGGCGUAGCAAUACGUCAGCGGCAGACGGGUGAGUAACGCGUGGGAACAUACCUUUUGGCUCGGAACAACACAGGGAAACUUGUGCUAAUACCGGAUAAGCCCUUACGGGAAAGAUUUAUCGCCGAAGAUUGGCCCGCGUCUGAUUAGCUAGUUGGUGAGGUAACUGGCUCACCAAGGCGACGAUCAGUAGCUGGUCUGAGAGGAUGA